GCCAGCAGCCAUCUCACCCUGCAACUUUCAACUGGCAACCCACUGAAGCUAAGCAGGUGUGAGCCUGGUCAGUACCUGGAUGGGAGACCUCCAGGGAAAAACUAAGGUUGCUGCUGGAA
Lepisosteus oculatus (spotted gar) is the source of this 119-nucleotide ribosomal RNA. The record is from Ensembl. NCBI's taxonomy places the organism in Eukaryota, Metazoa, Chordata, Actinopteri, Semionotiformes, Lepisosteidae.